RNAcentral lists this ribosomal RNA (368 nucleotides) under uncultured bacterium. Its description in RNAcentral is "bacterial SSU rRNA". It matches the Rfam family "Bacterial small subunit ribosomal RNA", at positions 28 to 418 of the family's 1533-position model. The record is from RNAcentral.
GACGAACGCUGGCGGCAUGCCUAACACAUGCAAGUCGAACGGGCGGUAGCAAUACCGUCAGUGGCAGACGGGUGCGUAACGCGUGGGAACCUACCCUAAGGUUCGGAAUAACUGCGGGAAACUGCAGCUAAUACCGGAUGUUGCCCGAGGGCUAAAGGAGCAAUCCGCCUUUGGAGGGGCCCGCGUCCGAUUAGCUAGUUGGUGGGGUAACGGCUCACCAAGGCGACGAUCGGUAGCUGGUCUGAGAGGAUGGCCAGCCACACUGGAACUGAGACACGGUCCAGACUCCUACGGGAGGCAGCAGUGGGGAAUAUUGGACAAUGGGGGAAACCCUGAUCCAGCAAUGCCGCGUGGGUGAUGAAGGCCUU